RNAcentral lists this ribosomal RNA (500 nucleotides) under Astrochlamys sol. RNAcentral's name for it is "partial 16S ribosomal RNA". It matches the Rfam family "Bacterial large subunit ribosomal RNA", at positions 1816 to 2597 of the family's 2925-position model. The record is from RNAcentral. Lineage: Eukaryota; Metazoa; Echinodermata; Ophiuroidea; Euryalida; Gorgonocephalidae.
CGCCUUUGGUUAAAUAUCAAAAGGUCCUGCCUGCCCGGUGAUUUAAAAAUUUAACGGCUGCGGUACUCUGACCGUGCAAAGGUAGCAUAAUCAUUAGCCUGUUAAUUUCAGGCUGGAAUCAACGGCAAGACGAAGAAAAGGCUGUCUCUUUCUAUUAUUUUAGAAUUUUUCUUUUUGGUGAAGAGACCAUAAUAAAUAAGUGGGACGAGAAGACCCUAUUGAGUUUUAGUUAGUUAACAAAAAAUUUUUUUAUUAACAAACUUUGGUUGGGGCAACUAUUUAUAAAAUUAAAUAUUUAUAAAAUAAAAAUUGAAUUAAAUCUUAAAUAAAAAAAACCCAGAAAUUUAUUCUGUACUUAAAAAAAAUUACCUUAGGGAUAACAGCGUAAUUCUUUUUGAGAGUACAUAUUGACAAAAGAGUUUGCGACCUCGAUGUUGGAUCAAGAUUUCCUAAAGGUGCAGUAGCUUUUAAGGGUUGGUUUGUUCAACCAUAAAAAUCUU